Long non-coding RNA from Pelmatolapia mariae (spotted tilapia), 3693 nucleotides. RefSeq lists it as uncharacterized. The record is from RefSeq and is a predicted model, not a curated record. The transcript has 2 exons. NCBI's taxonomy places the organism in Eukaryota, Metazoa, Chordata, Actinopteri, Cichliformes, Cichlidae.
CAUAGUCCGCCCGGCCGCAGUCGGAGUAUUUCCCCUCAGCCUGUUCUUGGUGCUUUGCCGUAUUGAAAGCCAACAUAGCUUUGUUUUGUCUUCCAAAGAAGCUUCCCUAAUGUGAGCAGGACAGAAUUAAAGGGAAACAUGAAGAGAAGGAGAACCCAGGCUCCUGCGUGGAAAACCGCCCAUGCGUAAUGAGACGACCCGCUCCGCCAUUCUCAAUUCUCCGACGCCGUUGGCUCUGGUAAAAAUGGAUGAAGCAGCUGGUGGAGUACACGGGACCAUUCAGGGUCUGGUCUACAGCUUCUUUUGGAGAAAGACGGUGAGGAAGAUCCAGGUUGUGAGGGCAUCGACUAAACAGCUAAACGGUGACAUCUAGUGGUGAUUUCUAGUUUGAGUACUCACGGUGAACGAGUGGGCAGCCUACACGGGUGAACGAGUACCUGUUCCUACCAACGCCACACUGAACUUGCGCAAUCCAACGUCAUGCGUGCAAUUUAAUGUACAUUCAUGAUCUUAAAAUAAGCCUGAUGCUGGAAGCACACAUGCCCUCAGAACUCUUUCACUUUUAAUGUUACAAAAGCAGCAACUGAAGCCCUAACUGGGCUUUAAGCUAAGAAUGUAUUUUAGAUAUUGUUUUUCCCCACCAUGUAAGUGUACACGUGCUGUCUUGAUUUUGAUUUAUUUAUUUUAAUUUAUUCACCCUGAAGGCGCUGAUUUUUUACAAUUCGUUUUUUUUCCUUUUCUCAUUUCUAUAGUUUUUUUUUUUUCUCAAAAAAGAUUCAGGAUUGUUGCAUCAGGCUGGCCUUUGAAAAACUGUGAAAACUGUUGUCACAGUAUAUUAUUUUUGAUAGAUAAUUCGUUAUGUUUGGUUUGCAGUGACCUUGCAAACCUUCUUUCACACGUUACUGGUAGAAAACUCUUCAAAAUCACUUCAGUGUGUCUGGUAUUAAUGUAAUGGCGAAAGAAAAUGUGAACAUUUAGACAGUUUAGGAAACAGUGUCAAUAAAGAUGCUGUAAACAUUAAAACUGUUACUUGCCAGCAUCUGCACACUCCUGCUCCAGUCUGCACAAGUGAAGCAGUCAGUACAAUACAUCGGAGCAUUAGCCUCAUUGUUAUAUAUAAUUUUAAAAGAGUAACUCGCUUACUUUUAGAUCGUGAAUAAUUUGUUUAAAGCAUAUUUAAAGCGAUGCAUGUAGACAUGUUACUGAUGUAGCAAUUACUUGUGAAAUAAAACAAUAUCCAAAACGUGUUGAAUCUGUUUCUUCGAUUUGCCACCUUUAAAUACGUGCAAUUAAUAGAUGACGUGUGACAAGUUUUUGUAUCAUUUCUUGUUACGUAUUAAAGAAAAAAAAAGCGUAUUUCUCAGCGAAAAAAAACGACUGCCAAAUUGUAGACUACAAACCGAGUAGGGAGGAAAAACGGUAGAAAAGCAAACGAAACCUAAAUGCAAUUAGUUCCUCGAUAAUUCUGAAACCAUCCUACAGGUAGGCCUAUGUUCACAGCAACCCACUGCAACGCUUCUCUUCCUGGAAAAUAUAUUUAUUCAUAUCGAUUCACAAUUUUUCUGCAUGUGCUAAGUAAAUAAAUAAAUAACGCUAACGUUAAGAAGCGAUAACUUCCUGUUAAUAUUCACUUCAAGGAACAAUGACUUCAGAUCAUCAAGAAACGAUAGAAAAGGGGCCUUUAGAAAAUAUAGACGGUAGACAUAUAUUACAUAUAAAACGCUAUAAAAAGGAUUUCUUUGGAAUUACAAAAUGUUCGAAAUCUCGCGAUGGAUUUAUUUUUUAUUUUUGUAAAACUGUAAUUCGUGUGUUUUUUCUGUGUGUGUGUGUGUGUCUGUCUAUAUGGGUAUUCACUAAUGUUAUUACAUUUCCAUUCGAAAAAAGUGAUUCUUUCAGGUAAGCUAUGCGGACCUGUACUGCCUGCAGAAAAAUGCAUGAACAGUCAGGAAAAUUUCUUCCUUUUUUGCGUUUUGAUAACCACACAACUCAAUAAUUGUUACAACAAAGUUAAGCUAUAUUUUGGGGGUCAGUCAUUGCGAAAUAACUGUUAUAAGAAAAGCUGAAAAAAUAAAGACUUUAAUGGAUUUUAUAGAAUAAGCUGUCCACUCUUUCUUUGAUUCACACUUCUGAGUUGUUUUGGUUUUUUUUCCACUUUUUUUUAUUGAAGAAAAAGCGAGUAGGACAGGAGUAGGCCUAAACCUUUACCUUGUUUCUUGUCGUGUGGGAGCAUGCGACUGUGAUUGCAUUGUUUAGGAUCUAUGUGCUCUCAUGUUCAAAUGUAGUUUGAUUUACUACUCAGAAAGAUGAUGCCACUGUAAUUGUGAGGCCAACUGUUAAAAAAACUGUUUAAAUAUUAAACAAAUGUUGUUGCUGUUGCUUUUUUACAAUUAUUAUUUAUUUGUCAUUAUAAAUAUAAAAAUGCGUCUAUUGAAAAAAAAUGUGGAUGUCAAAUUAUCUGCAAGUGAAGUUGCUAUGGCACCAUGUCCCUUCUUCAUUUCCUCAUGGAAGCUCUUUGUGUUGAUAUGUUUUUUGAGUCUGCAUGGUAUGAAAGCAAUCACUGUAUGGGAUGCAUGUAGAAACAAGUCAAACACAAUGAAAUCACACCAAGUCACAUCAGGAUAACUAAGAAAGCCAGUAACUUUACUGAAAUCUCUGCAAAAUACAAAUAGCCUUUCCCUCCUGCAGAGGAGACUUUUAUUUCAUCCCCAUACGUUUUCACUACAUACAGCUGAAUCAAGUCCCUUGAGUUACAGAGAUGUGAUUUUAAUUUAAUACCAUCUUAGUCUCAAGUGGCGACAAAGGCCAGCUUAUGCCGCUGAAAGCCGCUCCUGCAUUCCAAAAAACCUUAGUUACAAACGUCCGCCCCCAUCAUCAGGUUUAUACAAGCUACAUUGAAACUACAGACUGACUUUUUAAGUAUUUUAACAUAUUACUCUUUUUUUUUAAAUUUCAGCUUUUGAGUACAACUUAAAUAAACCACAAACACAGAGGAGCAACAAAGAAUCCCGUAGCAUGUGAAUGUUGGGACCUUAAGCAAUUGUUAUUACACAUGGCUGUACAGGUGAAUGGUCUCCCCUUUGCACGUUAAGUGACUUAUCAAAAAAUCAGCUGAGGUACUGCUUGGGUCAAUUUUGAGGUACCAACAUUUAGUCUGAUAUAGUAAUGACAAAGAACAACUGAUCAACAGAUGAAGAAAAAAAUUGGCUUCAAAUUGAACAAACGUAGAAAGAAGAAGAAGAAAAAAAACACAUCAAAGAUAUAAAGACAAGCUUUCUCCAUGUCUUUGGUUAAAAAUACUGUCAAAACUAUAGCACUCUAAUUAACUGUCAGGACAUGUUGGCAUUAUUUUAUUCAGCGAGCAAGCAGUGUGUAAUGUUGAUUGAUGAAGUGAAAAACAAGUAUAGCUUUCACACGGGCCUGAAUGAUUCCGAGUUAAGUAACAAAUUGUAAAUAGAAAAUGCGUUUUUCCUUUUCUUUUUGUUUUUUUUUCCCAUGUAACCUUUUUCGAUACGCUGCACAGGGAGACAAAUGAACAAGAAAACAGGUAAAUUAAUACGAUUCCUAUGGACAAUGCAGUUUGAUGGCUAAAGCUACAAUAACUAACUGAAAGUGAAAUGUGAAAACAGUUGUGAAUUUAAGCAGAAUCUUUUAUUAUCUUGUUUCAAUGCUUGCAAAAAAAAAAAAAAAAAACAA